This 68-nucleotide transfer RNA is filed under the name Anaerolineales bacterium. RNAcentral's name for it is "tRNA-OTHER". It matches the Rfam family "tRNA". Rfam says of the family: Transfer RNA (tRNA) molecules are approximately 80 nucleotides in length. Their secondary structure includes four short double-helical elements and three loops (D, anti-codon, and T loops). The record is from RNAcentral. Lineage: Bacteria; Bacillati; Chloroflexota; Anaerolineae; Anaerolineales.
UGGUGCGGGAUGGGGAUGGCUAACGGUCUCUGGAACCGUAAGCCGAGGUUCAAAUCCUCGUCCCCCAG